GCUGCAGCUGAGUGCCCUCGGAUUUAUUCUCCUAUCUGCCUUGGUUGCCCAUGUUCUUGUUCUAAGUCCAUAAGAAAAAAAUAUUUCCCUUAUUUUCCUUUUUAUUUGCAUUUCGUGUUUCCUUCCAUCUCCGCUGCAAGAACGUGUUUUUGGUGGUACUACUACCUCGCAAGAAUGAUUUCAUGGUGCAUUCUCGCCCACAAGAAUGAUUUUGUGGAGUGUUAUUACCCUCAAGGACGAUUUGUUGUGGAGGCGACCAAGCCCCGCAAGGACUACUAACUCUCGGAUAGCUAACUCUUUCCCGCUAACUCUCAAUUAACCUGUUUUGAGUUGUUUGUGUGUUGUUCUUUGCUCUCAUUUGCAGGUAUGAAGGGCUUCAGCAAGAAGGUCAUGGGCGCACUCAAAAAGGC
Molecule: long non-coding RNA, 410 nt
Filed under: Panicum hallii
Lineage: Eukaryota; Viridiplantae; Streptophyta; Magnoliopsida; Poales; Poaceae
Description: long non-coding RNA (PHAL_LNC000895)
Source: RNAcentral